ACCGUUAUAACCGGCGAUACCCGAAUGGGGAAACCCAGUGUGAUUCGUCACACUAUCAUUAACUGAAUCCAUAGGUUAAUGAGGCGAACCGGGGGAACUGAAACAUCUAAGUACCCCGAGGAAAAGAAAUCAACCGAGAUUCCCCCAGUAGCGGCGAGCGAACGGGGAGGAGCCCAGAGCCUGAAUCAGCAUGUGUGUUAGUGGAAGCGUCUGGAAAGGCGCGCGAUACAGGGUGACAGCCCCGUACACAAAAGCGCAUGUGCUGUGAGCUCGAUGAGUAGGGCGGGACACGUGGUAUCCUGUCUGAAUAUGGGGGGACCAUCCUCCAAGGCUAAAUACUCCUGACUGACCGAUAGUGAACCAGUACCGUGAGGGAAAGGCGAAAAGAACCCCGGCGAGGGGAGUGAAAAAGAACCUGAAACCGUGUACGUACAAGCAGUGGGAGCCCCACCACCAAAGCAUUUGCUGUACCGCGUUGACGGAGCGAAGCGACGUCAAACCGAUAAAACAGCAGUGUAAAGUGAGCCGCAGGGCGCUUUGCGCGACAGCGCAAAGGCAGGCGGUUUCGCGUAGCGAAAGCGAAUGCUUUGGGGUGG
This 596-nucleotide ribosomal RNA is filed under the name Salmonella enterica subsp. enterica serovar Enteritidis. RNAcentral's name for it is "partial 23S ribosomal RNA". The stretch from base 1 to 431 matches the Rfam family "Bacterial large subunit ribosomal RNA", at positions 94 to 565 of the family's 2925-position model. Lineage: Bacteria; Pseudomonadati; Pseudomonadota; Gammaproteobacteria; Enterobacterales; Enterobacteriaceae. The record is from RNAcentral.